GCCCUGGUAGCUCAGCCUGGCGGAGCGACCGCUUGGUAUGCCGAGGUCCGGGGUUCAAAGCCCCGCCAGGGCU
RNAcentral lists this transfer RNA (73 nucleotides) under Candidatus Caldarchaeum subterraneum. RNAcentral describes it as "Candidatus Caldiarchaeum subterraneum (hot springs metagenome) tRNA-Thr". It matches the Rfam family "tRNA". Rfam says of the family: Transfer RNA (tRNA) molecules are approximately 80 nucleotides in length. Their secondary structure includes four short double-helical elements and three loops (D, anti-codon, and T loops). Lineage: Archaea; Thermoproteati; Nitrososphaerota; Candidatus Caldarchaeales; Candidatus Caldarchaeaceae. The record is from RNAcentral.